AACUCUUUUUUUUUUUAUUAUUAUUCAUUCAACAUGACCCUUUUGCAAACAUAUACACACAGACAAGGUAUGAUAACUUGAGAAAACCCUCACUUCACAAAACAAAAUACACGCACACAAGCAGACAUCCCCCUCAUUUCACCUCCUUCACUGCAUUCUUCUUUAAGAAACCCUAAAUUCCUUUCUUCCAUCCACACAACACCCCUUUACAUCACUCCCCAACCUCUCGAUCUCCGAUUCCGGCGACUGGAGCCGCUUAUCCGGCGACUGGAGUCGCUUAUCCGGCGACUGGAGCCGCUUAUCCGGCGACCGGUUACCUCCGGCUACGCCACGAUCACCCCUAACUCCUCUCUUUCCCCUAAAAUCAUCGCCCACACACACAAAUACACCCAACCCCCCCGUCAGUUGUAGAGCUGACCACCAUCGGGUGGUGGUGAGCGACGUUUGGACCCAGAAGUAAGAGAAGUCAGAGCGAGAGAGAGAUCUGAAGAGUAGAAGGUGGAGCGGCGCGGCAAUGGAGGCGAACGGCGACGGACCGCCGUUGGCGGCGGAGCCGCGACGGCGGCGGCGUGCUUGGUCCAGUGGGUUCCACGAUUCAAGCAUGGUUCGGGUUAGCCUCGGUUCAGUCAACGGCGCUCAGUAGUGGGGAUGGUUAUCUUGUUUGAAGUUUGGGGUAUAUUUUGGACUCGGUUCCUUGGUUCACACUUCAGAUUCGGUUUUUGGUGAUUCGGGUGUUUCGGUUCAGAAUCAGAGUUCGGGUCAACCCAGUCAACACAACGGGUUGACUGGUCAAAGCUGGUCAACGAGUUGACUCAGUCAACGGAAGUCAAAAUCAGUCAACAGUUCGGUCAACCGUGGUCAAAGUCAGAUUUGGUGCGGUCAAACUCAGUCAAUACGAGACGCGGAAUGCUUUAGUUGCACGCUAGCGAGUUCACAUUCUUGGAAUGACAUCACGGAAUCACGUUAAGCUAG
Helianthus annuus (common sunflower) is the source of this 972-nucleotide long non-coding RNA. RefSeq lists it as uncharacterized. The record is from RefSeq and is a predicted model, not a curated record. The transcript is spliced from 3 exons. NCBI's taxonomy places the organism in Eukaryota, Viridiplantae, Streptophyta, Magnoliopsida, Asterales, Asteraceae.